Molecule: ribosomal RNA, 920 nt
Filed under: uncultured archaeon
Lineage: Archaea
Description: bacterial SSU rRNA
Rfam family: Archaeal small subunit ribosomal RNA
Source: RNAcentral
UUUUCCGGUUGAUCCUGCCAGACCUGACUGCUAUCGGAUUGAUACUAAGCCAUGCGAGUCAUUGUAGCAAUACAAGGCAUACGGCUCAGUAACGCGUAGUCAACCUAACCUAUGGACGGGAAUAACCUCGGGAAACUGAGAAUAAUGCCCGAUAGAACACUAUAUCUGGAAUGGUUUGUGUUCCAAAUGAUUUAUCGCCGUAGGAUGGGACUGCGGCCUAUCAGUUUGUUGGUGAGGUAAUGGCCCACCAAGACUAUUACAGGUACGGGCUCUGAGAGGAGUAGCCCGGAGAUGGGUACUGAGACACGGACCCAGGCCCUAUGGGGCGCAGCAGGCGAGAAAACUUUGCAAUGUGCGAAAGCACGACAAGGUUAAUCCGAGUGAUUUGUGCUAAACGAAUCUUUUGUUAGUCCUAGAACCACUAACGAAUAAGGGGUGGGCAAGUUCUGGUGUCAGCCGCCGCGGUAAAACCAGCACCUCAAGUGGUCAGGAUGAUUAUUGGGCCUAAAGCAUCCGUAGCCGGCUCUGUAAGUUUUCGGUUAAAUCUGUACGCUUAACGUACAGGCUGCCGGGAAUACUGCAGAGCUAGGGAGUGGGAGAGGUAGACGGUACUCGGUAGGAAGGGGUAAAAUCCUUUGAUCUAUUGAUGACCACCUGUGGCGAAGGCGGUCUACCAGAACACGUCCGACGGUGAGGGAUGAAAGCUGGGGGAGCAAACCGGAUUAGAUACCCGGGUAGUCCCAGCUGUAAACUAUGCAAACUCAGUGAUGCAUUGACUUGUGGUCAAUGCAGUGCUGCAGGGAAGCCGUUAAGUUUGCCGCCUGGGAAGUACGUACGCAAGUAUGAAACUUAAAGGAAUUGGCGGGGGAGCACCACAAGGGGUGAAGCCUGCGGUUCAAUUGGAGUCAACGCCGGAAAUC